UCAGGUGGAGCAGGCCUCGCGCUUGCACCUCCCUCCCUUUGCAUACCGUAUACCGUUGCUCGAGCCGGCGGCCCCCGGGCCCCGGCGAGAGACCACAACCAUCUUGUUCCUGAUCGUCUGAGUACCACAUACAACAGAAUA
This 141-nucleotide unclassified non-coding RNA is filed under the name uncultured Dothideomycetes. RNAcentral describes it as "sequence contains ITS1". Lineage: Eukaryota; Fungi; Ascomycota; Dothideomycetes. The record is from RNAcentral.